This 388-nucleotide ribosomal RNA is filed under the name uncultured soil bacterium. RNAcentral's name for it is "bacterial SSU rRNA". It matches the Rfam family "Bacterial small subunit ribosomal RNA", at positions 26 to 406 of the family's 1533-position model. The record is from RNAcentral.
AGAUUGAACGCUGGCGGCAGGCCUAACACAUGCAAGUCGAGCGGUAGAGAGGUGCUUGCACCUCUUGAGAGCGGCGGACGGGUGAGUAAUGCCUAGGAAUCUGCCUAGUGGUGGGGGAUAACGUUCGGAACGGACGCUAAUACCGCAUACGUCCUACGGGAGAAAGCGGGGGACCUUCGGGCCUCGCGCCAUUAGAUGAGCCUAGGUCGGAUUAGCUAGUUGGUGAGGUAACUGGCUCACCAAGGCGACGAUCCGUAACUGGUCUGAGAGGAUGAUCAGUCACACUGGAACUGAGACACGGUCCAGACUCCGUACGGGAGGCCAGGCAGGUAGGGGAAUAGUUGGACAAGUAGGGCGAAAGCCUGGAUCCGAGCCAUGCCGCGUGUGU